Long non-coding RNA from Dermochelys coriacea (leatherback sea turtle), 2419 nucleotides. RefSeq lists it as uncharacterized. The transcript is spliced from 3 exons. NCBI's taxonomy places the organism in Eukaryota, Metazoa, Chordata, Testudines, Dermochelyidae. The record is from RefSeq and is a predicted model, not a curated record.
AACAGGAAAUUGAACAAUGGCAAAGAUAAUCUGCUACCAUAAAGAAUGCCACAGGUCCUUGAGGAAAGGAUGAGGAAGGUACUGACUGGGGAAUACCCUCCACCCAGGCUAGAAUGGUUUAUUCUUCCCAAUGCUAAGCCUAUAAUCAAAAGGAAUAUUUUGCUAGCCUAAAAGGGGGUGGAGGGUGAGUAGCUGAGGGCUGCCCAGGAAGCAUCAGUGAGCACUGUGAGGGAUGAAAGGAGACCCGGAGAGAGAGACAAGUACUACAGGAAGCAGGCUGGCUCUCCCAACCCAGAUAUGGGAAUAAGAUGGCCCUACCUGAGCUAUGGAUGAAAAGGUUACGCUCAGAUAGGCCUGAACCAAAACCCUAGAUCCAGAAACCACCACAGGAAAUGGGAGCUUGAAAUCCAUAUCCAAAUUUUGCCUCUGAGGUUCAUCGCUAAUUUCCAUAUAAGGAAGCACUCUUCGACUCUGGAAGGAACCAGAAUUCUGACACUGCAAGGGAUGACUUUGCCUCCUUGGACCCAUAUCAGGCCUUGGAAAGGUGGCUGCUGAUAUUUUUGACAAUUUAGUCCACUACCUGGACACUCUUGAGGACAGUAUUAUCCUGCAAACAUGUGCAUGCAUUGGGGAUUAUGUUACCAUAAUUUAUGGAAUUGUCUUUUUAUUGUUCUUAUACUUUUUUCCAGAUCUGAAUCCAACCAUAUUUGGGGGGGGGGAGGAUGAGAAAGAGGGUUUGACUCAAGUAAUUUCUGCAACAGACCACUUUAACCAUCCUAUAACUGUAAGCAUCCUGUAAUCAUCUCAGCUGAAGGUCUUGUCUACACACAAAGGUUGUACUGUUGUAACUUGCCUGGAAUAGUUAAAGCGGUAAUGGGUUUUGCUUUGUGUGACUGAAGUUUGCUUUGGGAUCUUUUUCAGUGUUUAAUAUUAUACAAAUCAGAAUGCUCAAAACAUCAUAUGAGAACAGGCACAAAUGAAAACUAUAAAAAGGAACGUAUGUUAAAGACGACAAGAACCCACCUUUUAACUCUUCUGACAUACAUUUGACGGAGUGUGGAAAUGGAUAAAUGUUUUGCAAAAAUAGGAAGUGUCCAGCUUUAGUAAGAGUCCUGGGUGAUUUACAGAGCAGUCUAGGGGAUUUAGAUAUCUUUUCCACUAAAAUUAAAGAAAGAUGUGUGUCUCAAUCCUGUAGACUGCUUUGAGAAUCUCAACAUAUUUGUCUCUGAUGCAUGUACGUUUGUAUGCAAUUGCCAGCUUUACCUUAUUCUGAAUGGCUAUCAAGAUAAGUUAAAGCAGACAAAUGCAUAAAAAGCCCUAUAUACACUGAUUUUGGCAGCAGGAUUGGUGGGAUAUAUACUUUAAAAAACUCUUAGCAGUUCCAUAUGUUCUAAUUUAUGGACAUUUUUCAGAUAGAAAUCUACAUUAUCCAUUUGCAGGCAGAUCUUAGAAGCAUACAAUUAAAUCAACUGAACCAACUAAUUAAAAAAAACCCCUCAAACCCUAAAUAAUAAAUACAAAUCUAAUGAUGACAAUAAUGAAGCUUAACCAGACUUUUCUCUGCUAAUAACUGCCCCCUCCAUCUAUCCUGCUGCCAAGGUGAGGCUAUGCAUUGCUUUUCUGCCUGAUAAGUGCCAAUUGCACAUUGGUGCUUCCCUAGAGAUAUUCACUUUCCACACCAGAAUUUUUUCCAGGCAUAUUCCCUUUCUGAUUCUCCUUUGGAGAAUAUCUGCUGUGGGUUCACUCCCUGAGCAGAAACGGUCAAACAGAUGUUCUCUGUGGGCUAUGGAUCAUGUCUUUCAAAGAUGUUUUGUACAUGCAGCAGUUUUCAGAAGGUGUUGUCUACAAUUUUCUAUAUUUCUGAAUAGUCGGCUGCUAUUUAACCUCUGUUUUCUCUGAUUCAAUGUGUUGUUCUUUCUUUUUUAACCAUAUAGAUAAAAUGAUUGUGAAAUAUCUUUAUAUAAAAUCAUAGCUUUAUUUCAUUAGCACACCUCCUGAUGAUUUUAUAGUGGAUGCUGCUAUAUGCAAGUGCAUUUUCUGAAUGAAAACUCAGUCAAAAGAGAUCUGAAAAACAGUGGCCUAAAACUUUCUAAUUUACAAACAUCUGAGGGUUAACACUCUAUACUAAGUGCAAUAUGCAAAGCUAUUAAUUUUUUUUUAGGGAGAAUUAUAGCAAAAUAGAAAUACAUUAGUAUAAAAUGAAUUACUCUUGCUCUCUGCUUGUGAGAACAACAGUAAGACUUAUUUUAUUAAUGAAGUGCAACCCCUUCAGCAAAUGGGGUAUUUUCCUGUGAUUCAUAAUAAAUAUAUACACCAUUACAAUAAUGUUGUGCUUAAAUUAAAAACAAAAACAAAAAAGCACCACCACCCUCUAAACUAAAAACCAGAUAAAUAAAUAGAAGGGGUUCUAUUUGCAAGG